Molecule: ribosomal RNA, 497 nt
Filed under: uncultured bacterium
Lineage: Bacteria
Description: partial 16S ribosomal RNA
Rfam family: Bacterial small subunit ribosomal RNA
Source: RNAcentral
GAUGAACGCUGGCGGCGUGCCUAAUACAUGCAAGUCGAGCGAACGGACGAGAAGCUUGCUUCCCUGAUGUUAGCGGCGGACGGGUGAGUAACACGUGGAUAACCUACCUAUAAGACUGGGAUAACUUCGGGAAACCGGAGCUAAUACCGGAUAAUAUUUUGAACCGCAUGGUUCAAAAGUGAAAGACGGUCUUCAUGUCACUUAUAGAUGGAUCCGAGCUGCAUUAGCUAGUUGGUAAGGUAACGGCUUACCAAGGCAACGAUGCAUAGCCGACCUGAUAGGGUGAUCGCCCACACUGGAACUGAGACACGGUCCAUAGUCCUACGGGAGGCAGCAGUAGGGAAUCUUCCGCAAUGGGCGAAAGCCUGACGGAGCAACGCCGCGUGAGUGAUGAAGGUCUUCGGAUCGUAAAACUCUGUUAUUAGGGAAGAACAUAUGUGUAAGUAACUGUGCACAUCUUGACGGUACCUAAUCAGAAAGCCACGGCUAACUACGUG